UCACUUUCUGUUUCACCUGCACUGCAUGGCUGAGAGCUCACACUCUGUUAUCAAAAUCCUCUAUUCUCCUGGAUCAAAGCCACUCUCCAGGUUCAGCGGUCUCCCGGCUGUCUUCUCUUCUCAGGGUCCUGAGAAGAGCGAGCAGGAGGAGUGGGUCAUAAGUGAUGCCGUUAACAGGAAAAUUACAGAAUUAAAAUAUCGACUGAAGGAAACAGUGAAGACCUCAGCAGAUUUACAGAAAUAAUUUUUAUAAUGCAAUUAAGUUUCAAAAAUGUUAACAGAGUGUUGUACAAGUGUUUUUCUAUUGUAUUCUAUUGUAUUUCUACAUGAUAAUAUAAUACAAGAUUU
Molecule: long non-coding RNA, 348 nt
Organism: Bufo gargarizans (Asiatic toad)
Lineage: Eukaryota; Metazoa; Chordata; Amphibia; Anura; Bufonidae
Exons: 3
Source: RefSeq, a predicted model, not a curated record